Molecule: ribosomal RNA, 497 nt
Filed under: uncultured bacterium
Lineage: Bacteria
Description: partial 16S ribosomal RNA
Rfam family: Bacterial small subunit ribosomal RNA
Source: RNAcentral
GAUGAACGCUGGCGGCGUGCCUAAUACAUGCAAGUCGAGCGAACGGACGAGAAGCUUGCUUCUCUGAUGUUAGCGGCGGACGGGUGAGUAACACGUGGAUAACCUACCUAUAAGACUGGGAUAACUUCGGGAAACCGGAGCUAAUACCGGAUAAUAUUUUGAACCGCAUGGUUCAAAAGUGAAAGACGGUCUUGCUGUCACUUAUAGAUGGAUCCGCGCUGCAUUAGCUAGUUGGUAAGGUAACGGCUUACCAAGGCAACGAUGCAUAGCCGACCUGAGAGGGUGAUCGGCCACACUGGAAGUGAGACACGGUCCAGACUCCUACGGGAGGCAGCAGUAGGGAAUCUUCCGCAGUGGGCGAAAGCCUGACGGAGCAACGGCGCGUGAGUUAUGGAGGUCUUCGGAUCGUAAAACUCUGUUAUUAGGGAAGAACAUAUGUGUAAGUAACUGUGCACAGCGUGACGGUACCGAAUCAGAAAGCCACGGCUAACUACGUG